GUCUGUGGCCCUAAAACCCUGAAUGCACCCUAUCUCAUCUGGUCUUGAAAGCUAAGCAGAGUUGGGCCUGGUUAGUACUUGGAUGGAAGACAAAUCUUCAGAAGAAACUGCUCAAACA
RNAcentral lists this ribosomal RNA (118 nucleotides) under Castor canadensis (American beaver). Lineage: Eukaryota; Metazoa; Chordata; Mammalia; Rodentia; Castoridae. The record is from RNAcentral.